Molecule: long non-coding RNA, 1779 nt
Filed under: Ornithorhynchus anatinus (platypus)
Lineage: Eukaryota; Metazoa; Chordata; Mammalia; Monotremata; Ornithorhynchidae
Description: lncRNA (ENSOANG00000039601.1)
Source: RNAcentral
AUGGGGCGAGCUGGGGACCGACCCAGGGGAGGAGAGGGGACCCGGGGAGGGCAGGGGCCAAGAGGAGCGGGGGGGGGGCGGCAAGGGGAAGCCAGCAGCAGAAACGGGGAGGCGGCGGCCAGGGCCGUGGGGGAGGGCCGGAGCCGAGGUCGGCGAGCGCUCCGGGAACACCGGAGGCCGGGGACCAAGCGGAGGCCAGGCAGACGGCGGGGCCCGAGGUCGAGGCCAGGCGAUGGGAGGACAAGGGGGGUGGCGAGAGGGGAAAGGGGGGCGCGAGCGGCCAAAGGCAAAACCGGGACCAAGGGGGGGCCUCGCACCAGAAGGGAGGGCGCGCAGGGCCAGGCCAGGCAAGGCCAGGCCAGGGGAGGGGGAGAGAGCCGGCGCGAGGGCAAGAGGGGAGGGCCCAAGACGGGGAAAAGGGGGGGAACACCGGGUCGUCCCGUGGGGGGGCCGGUGGGGCCAGAGAGUCCAAAGCCACAAGAAGAACAAGAAGAAGAAGAGGAAGAAGAAGAAGAAAAGAAAAAUCCUCCUCCGCUGGCUCCGCCUCCUCCUACUCCGCAUCCUGCUGGUCGGGGCAAGGGAGGAGGAGGUGGGGGGGCCCGGCUGGUCCGGCAGGGUCAGGCUGUCCAGCCGCUCGGGGCGGGAUCCCGCCCCGGCGGCGGCGGCGACGACGGUGAGGGCGACUCGGAGGGUCCGGCGCCGGCCCCCCGACCCGCCCGACUCAUGUGCAGUUGCUCUCCAUCUUCGCCCACCAAGGUCGGUGUGGCCCCGCCGAGGGGCGGGUUGCAGCCUCCAGCGUCGGGCCCGGGCGGGCCAGGGCGGCGCCCCCGGCAGGCCCCACCGUGGUUCGGGCCUGGGAGGGCAAGAGAAACAAACGGCAGAGUGAGCCAGCUAGCCAGCAACCCAGCGAGCCAGUUCCCACCUCCGGCCGAGAUGCGGGGCCCCUGCCCGCCCGCCCGCCCGCCCUCUCUGGCGGCCGCGGUUCCGUGGACUAGGCCCCGCGACGUCCGUGGCCAUCAGCCGCCCCCGCCCCACCAGGACCCUACCCCCCUGAGCCCGGAAAGGAGGCCAGCUGGGCGGAGGAGCGGCAGGGUCUCCGCGGGGGCCGGGGCCGGCCUGGGGCGGGGAGGGCGGCGGGGGUUGCAGUGCUGCGCCUGUCCCCAGCCGAGCCGAUCGGACGGGCCAGCCGCAAGGAGUCCGGACCCCCGGGGUCCCGGGAGGGGCCUGCGUCUCAUCCCACGGAUUCCCCCGCCACCACUCACCCAGGAAGACACACCCCCCCCCGCCGUCCCCCCGGCCCCCUGCGGUGGCAGCGCAGCCGCCACUCAGGGAGAGGGCCGAGGCGGCAGGGGGGUCGGACCCCAGGAGAACACCGACGAUCCUCUGACCCCGGGAGCGGCACCGGGCACCCGACGGGGGGCCGACAGGGGCCCCACAAUAGGGCGGGGCCGAGUCCACCACAGCGCACAGGUCGUGGGUCGGGGGGGGGUUGGGCCCAUGGGAAGGCGAAGGCCACCAGAGAGGCCCUUGGCAACGGUCAGUCCCGGGCGGACCCGGGAGACCGAGGGAGACGGGUCGGCCGGGAGGAGAAGGCUAGACGGGGAGAAGAAAAAAAAGUGGGGGGCGAGGGGAGAUGGGCGCUGGGCUGGGGGGAAAGUGGGGCUCGGGGACAGAGUGUGGCCGGGCGCCAAAAGGACGGGAGGGGGAAGGGGUAGGCCGGGAGGAGAAAGGGGGCCGAGGGCAAAAGGUGGGGCCGGGAAGCCAGCUGACGGGCCGUAA